Molecule: unclassified non-coding RNA, 671 nt
Filed under: Hevea brasiliensis (rubber tree)
Lineage: Eukaryota; Viridiplantae; Streptophyta; Magnoliopsida; Malpighiales; Euphorbiaceae
Source: RNAcentral
GUUUUCUUGUAGAUCCGGCAAAGAACCCAAUCAUCAAGCCUCAUUGCAGUGGAAGAUGAAUCUUUAGGUUUGACAGGUUUGAUGUUGUAGGCGAGGGCAUCAGCUAGGCGAUAUUCAUGCAUAAUCCAAUUAGUCUUGAUUCCCUUUGGAGGCCUUCCCUUGUAGAAGACGAGAGCUUUCUUAACACCAAUGUUCUCUUGCACUCCCACACCACCACCACCACCACCUGCAGGCAUUGUUGACGAUGCCACUAUGACCUUGUCUGUUCCAGUUGCCUUCCAAUACCCUGAAGCUGCUGCUCUGUUAGGCCUAGCUCCAUUGGGAUACUUACGAUCUCUAGGACUGAAAAAGUACCAUUCUUUCUCUCCAAAGGCAGCCAUAGCUGGUAAGUCCCAUGGAUCAAACUUGUAGAUAUCAACAUCUGCAAUGAUGGAAACAGGGAAGGGUGUGGAUGCAAUCUUUUUCUUUAGGUAAUGGAGGAUGAGCUCCUCAUCUGUUGGGUGGAACCUAAAACCUGGCGGCAAGCUUGAUUGUGGGUUCUUCAUGCCCAUAUCUAAAUGACACUCUGAACCCACCUAAUGAAGAUUAGUGAAACGCUUAUUGAAACUGUUCAAUAGGCUCUUAACAGCUUUAUGAGAUGAAAAGCAAGCGAGAGAGAGAGAGAAAGAGAG